UUAGGAUGAUAAAAUGAGAUUCGAAAACUCGAUUAACUCGAAAAUUUUCGAUUCGAUUCGAUCGAAUGCUCACCCCUAGCUGUAAUCCUCCUCAACCCCGAGUUCAUCCCCCACGGCCUGCACCGGUUCCUUCUCAUCAUCUGCAAUAUUGAUAUUUGCUAAUUCUUCCUCCAUUGAGAUGUCAUCGCAAAAAAAACAACACUUUCUUCUUCAACAAACAUUACCGCCGCCAAGCAAUUCACAGAAAAAAAAUAAAAAAGAUUGAAAGCCAAAACGUGCUAGGUUAGCAGACCAAAGACGUGCUAG
RNAcentral lists this long non-coding RNA (306 nucleotides) under Gossypium raimondii (Peruvian cotton). Its description in RNAcentral is "long non-coding RNA (GRAI_LNC009505)". The record is from RNAcentral. Lineage: Eukaryota; Viridiplantae; Streptophyta; Magnoliopsida; Malvales; Malvaceae.